GGGUCAGUAGGUUGGUCGUGCCACCGGUACGUACUGGUCUCACUGAUUCCUCCUUCCUGAAGAACCGUAAUGCCAUUAAUUUGGUGUUGCGGGGAAACAGGACUGUUACUUUGAAAAAAUUAGAGUGUUUAAAGCAGGCUAACGCUUGAAUACAUUAGCAUGGAAUAAUGAAAUAGGACGAUCGAUCCUAUUUUGUUGGUUUCUAGGAUUGACGCA
Molecule: ribosomal RNA, 216 nt
Filed under: Glomeromycotina sp.
Lineage: Eukaryota; Fungi; Glomeromycota
Description: partial small subunit ribosomal RNA
Rfam family: Eukaryotic small subunit ribosomal RNA (bases 40-216)
Source: RNAcentral